RNAcentral lists this ribosomal RNA (435 nucleotides) under uncultured Oscillospiraceae bacterium. Its description in RNAcentral is "bacterial SSU rRNA". It matches the Rfam family "Bacterial small subunit ribosomal RNA", at positions 341 to 792 of the family's 1533-position model. The record is from RNAcentral. Lineage: Bacteria; Bacillati; Bacillota; Clostridia; Eubacteriales; Oscillospiraceae.
ACGGAAGGCAGCAGUGGGGAAUAUUGGGCAAUGGGCGAAAGCCUGACCCAGCGACGCCGCGUGAGGGAAGAAGGUCUUCGGAUUGUAAGCCUCUUUCAGCAGGGAAGAACAAUGACGGUACCUGCAGAAGAAGUCACGGCUAACUACGUGCCAGCAGCCGCGGUAAUACGUAGGUGGCGAGCGUUAUCCGGAAUUACUGGGUGUAAAGGGUGUGUAGGCGGAGAAGCAAGUCAGGCGUGAAAUUCAGAGGCUCAACCUCUGGACUGCGCUUGAAACUGUUUCCCUUGAGAGUGGGAGAGGUAAACGGAAUUCCUGGUGUAGUAGUGAAAUGCGUAGAUAUCAGGAGGAACACCGGUGGCGAAGGCGGUUUACUGGACCACAACUGACGCUGAGACACGAAAGCGUGGGGAGCAAACAGGAUUAGAUACCCUGGUA